Molecule: RNA transcript, 2802 nt
Organism: Manis javanica (Malayan pangolin)
Lineage: Eukaryota; Metazoa; Chordata; Mammalia; Pholidota; Manidae
Gene: CCNH
Gene name: cyclin H
Source: RefSeq, a predicted model, not a curated record
UAUCACGUGUUCUGAUGUCAGCGCGCCUGCGUUCGCCGGACUGAUACUCUCAGCUUUCGCGGGAUCUUGGUGAAGUCUUAAGUGUUUUACGCCACAGAUCGUGGAGUUUAGGGUCAUUUUUCUCCAGGUUCCGUGGGUCUGGUUUUGGACUUCACGAUGUACCACAACAGUAGCCAGAAGCGGCAUUGGACGUUCUCAAGUGAGGAGCAGCUGGCACGACUGCGGGCCGACGCCAACCGUAAAUUCAAAUGCAAAGCGGUAGCGAACGGGAAGCUAAAGGUUCUUCCAAAUGAUCCAAUCUUUCUGGAGCCUCAUGAAGAAAUGAUGCUGUGCAAAUACUAUGAGAAAAGACUGUUGGAAUUCUGUUCGGUGUUUAAGCCAGCAAUGCCAAGGUCUGUUGUGGGUACAGCUUGUAUGUAUUUCAAGCGUUUUUAUCUUAAUAACUCAGUAAUGGAAUAUCCCCCCCGGAUAAUAAUGCUCACUUGUGCAUUUUUGGCCUGCAAAGUAGAUGAAUUCAAUGUGUCUAGUCCACAGUUUGUUGGAAAUCUACGGGAGAGCCCUCUUGGACAGGAGAAGGCACUUGAACAGAUUUUGGAAUAUGAAUUACUUCUUAUACAGCAACUUAAUUUCCACCUUAUUGUCCACAAUCCUUAUAGGCCAUUUGAGGGCUUUCUCAUUGAUUUAAAGACUCGCUAUCCCAUGUUGGAGAACCCAGAGAUUUUGAGGAAAACAGCUGAUGACUUUCUUAAUAGAAUUGCAUUGACAGAUGCUUACCUUUUAUAUACACCUUCCCAAAUAGCCUUGACUGCCAUUUUAUCCAGUGCAUCCAGAGCAGAAAUUACUAUGGAAAGUUACUUAACAGAAAGUCUGAUGCUGAAAGAGAACCGAACUUGCUUGUCACAGUUACUAGAGACUAUGAAAAGUAUGAGAAACUUGGUAAAAAAAUAUGAACCACCAAGAUCUGAAGAAGUUGCUGUUCUAAAACAGAAGUUGGAGAGAUGUCACUCUGCUGAGCUUGCCCUUAACAUAAUCACAAAAAAGAGGAAAGGCUAUGAAGAUGAUGAUUAUGUCUCAAAGAAAGCCAAACAUGAGGAGGUAUGUUUUCCAAAGGAAGAAUGGACUGACGAUGACCUGGUAGAUUCUCUAUAACCGAUGGAAACUGAUUUGUCAAUGCUGACUUAACCAACAGAAGGAUGAAGUGUCACUAAACUUUGGCAUUAGAGCAAGGUCCACAUUUCUCUGAAAAAUUUCCUACCCAGCCCUUUAAAAAAAAGUUUUAGAGAUUUUAUUUCAUCAUUGACCAGCUAAUAAUUACUGCAAGGCCUAAAAAGCUCACACAUCACUGGAAUGUGGAAAGGUGUGCUAUUUUUUGGCAAGAGCAAAGAAGACAUCAUACUGAUGAGAUUUACCAUGUAGGUCAUGCUGAAUCCAUGCAGAACACGUGGGUGAAGGCUGCUACCUGACGUCAUUUGUUUUUGUAUAUUGGUUUUGUUUCUGUUGAAGCAGUUCUGUUAUAGCUAGAAGCUUUUUCAGUACAUGCUAGAUAAGGAAAAAUAGUAUGAACAUAAUUAGUAAAUAAAUGAAAGCCUGGUUAGAAAUUUCAAGGGUAGGAACCUGGAUUUGAAAAAAGUCCUAUUAACUCAAAGAAAUUCAUAAAAUAUUACCAUUCUACUCAAAUCAUAAAAAUUUGUUAGUGCACAAAAAUAUCUCGACCAAAAUAUAUUAAGAACCAAGUGAAGAGAAAUUCAUUUGUGUUUGGUGUUCUCGUAACUACUUAGGCCAGAACAAUUGCUAAGACAGAUCUUAUGUUCUAUCAUUAUAAAUGACACAUACAUACACCUUAUGCCUUAGAGAAUCAUGUAAGAAAUAAAACGAUAUUGUGCCUAAAAUUAAAUCAAACAGGUCCUACAUCUUUCUUGAAUUUUUUUUUAUUGGAGAAUUUGGCCUAAAUAUGACAAGUAGGCCCUGUGGGAUAUAUUCUGCCCAAGUUUCUAAACUUGGAAAAAAACCUUUUGAGGAAAACUCAGAAUCACCAAACUCACUGCUUUAGUCUCUUCUAACAAAUGGCUGGCCAGUGUGGUGAUAGUAUUCAGGAAGAGCUUACUGCAACUAGCAGUUUACAAGAUCACACUCUAGAAGAUUGGGAGCUUAGAAUAUUUUUGUGGAUCACUUGGCAGUGCACUGUGUGUGUGAGAGAAACAAAAGUCACGUAACUACUGACUUACUGGCUCCCUUACUCUCUUCACACAUCCUUCUGGAAUUCACAUUAAUUUAGACUCUAGCAAGGUUUGACAAUUUGCAGAAUCAAAAAGUCUGGGUAUAUUAUUCCUAUCUGCCAAGAUCUUUCUGGAUUAUAACUCAGAUUCUGAAGACUUUAAUGGAACAAAGUGUUGACCAUAAUUCAGCUAUUUACGGCCUCUCAGUCUUCUUAAGUGCUAAUGAAACAUCAUUGUUCAAUGAAGUCUGGCCAAAACCUACCUGCUGUGCACCACGUUCAUUACUGAGUGUUCGCAGUUCAUCUGAAUGGGCCACACAAAUUUCAUGCAAUGCUGCUAAAUCACGGGACAGGUCAGUUCUAGAAUGUUCUAUACUGUCUGGAAGUUCAGGCACAUUCUUUAAGGGAAUCACAAAACUGCAUUUAGAAAUACAAUCUUUAUAGUUUCCUCACUGGUUAUAAUAGAAGUUUUAACAUACUGAAGCCUUUUAAAAUCAAAUUUGUAACCUCGGUGUUCACAUCAAAACCAGGUUCCAUUUUUUGUGUAGUAGUACUGCUCUUCUAAAUAAAUGGGUUUCUUAAACUUU